AGACCCGAAACCCGGUGAUCUAGCCAUGGGCAGGUUGAAGGUUGGGUAACACUAACUGGAGGACCGAACCGACUAAUGUUGAAAAAUUAGCGGAUGACCUGUGGCUGGGGGUGAAAGGCCAAUCAAACCGGGAGAUAGCUGGUUCUCCCCGAAAGCUAUUUAGGUAGCGCCUCGUGAAUUCAUCUCCGGGGGUAGAGCACUGUUUCGGCUAGGGGGCCAUCCCGGCUUACCAACCCGAUGCAAACUGCGAAUACCGGAGAAUGUUAUCACGGGAGACACACGGCGGGUGCUAACGUCCGUCGUGAAGAGGGAAACAACCCAGACCGCCAGCUAAGGUCCCAAAGUCAUGGUUAAGUGGGAAACGAUGUGGGAAGGCCCAGACAGCCAGGAUGUUGGCUUAGAAGCAGCCAUCAUUUAAAGAAAGCGUAAUAGCUCACUGGUCGAGUCGGCCUGCGCGGAAGAUGUAACGGGGCUAAACCAUGCACCGAAGCUGCGGCAGCGACACUCAGGUGUUGUUGGGUAGGGGAGCGUUCUGUAAGCCUGCGAAGGUGGCCUGUGAGGGUUGCUGGAGGUAUCAGAA
Molecule: ribosomal RNA, 580 nt
Filed under: Salmonella enterica subsp. enterica serovar Infantis
Lineage: Bacteria; Pseudomonadati; Pseudomonadota; Gammaproteobacteria; Enterobacterales; Enterobacteriaceae
Also listed under: 1 other name
Description: partial 23S ribosomal RNA
Rfam family: Bacterial large subunit ribosomal RNA
Source: RNAcentral